This 485-nucleotide ribosomal RNA is filed under the name Gemella sanguinis. RNAcentral describes it as "bacterial SSU rRNA". It matches the Rfam family "Bacterial small subunit ribosomal RNA", at positions 28 to 493 of the family's 1533-position model. Lineage: Bacteria; Bacillati; Bacillota; Bacilli; Caryophanales; Gemellaceae. The record is from RNAcentral.
GACGAACGCUGGCGGCGUGCCUAAUACAUGCAAGUCGAGCGAAGUUUUUCUGGUGCUUGCACUAGAAAAACUUAGCGGCGAACGGGUGAGUAACACGUAAAGAACCUGCCUCAUAGACGGGGACAACUAUUGGAAACGAUAGCUAAUACCGGAUAACAGCAUAAAUCGCAUGAUAUAUGUUUAAAAGUUGGUUUCGGCUAACACUAUGAGAUGGCUUGCGGUGCAUUAGCUAGUUGGUGGGGUAAAGGCCUACCAAGGCGACGAUGCAUAGCCGACCUGAGAGGGUGAUCGGCCACACUGGGACUGAGACACGGCCCAGACUCCUACGGGAGGCAGCAGUAGGGAAUCUUCCGCAAUGGGCGAAAGCCUGACGGAGCAACGCCGCGUGAGUGAAGAGGGAUUUCGGUUCGUAAAGCUCUGUUGUUAGGGAAGAAUGAUUGUAUAGUAACUAUAUACAGUAGAGACGGUACCUAACCAGAAAGCCA